RNAcentral lists this small RNA (44 nucleotides) under Arabidopsis thaliana (thale cress). RNAcentral's name for it is "ATSL307980". The record is from RNAcentral. Lineage: Eukaryota; Viridiplantae; Streptophyta; Magnoliopsida; Brassicales; Brassicaceae.
CUCGCUCACUCUUGCCAAUCUUCUAUUUCUUCUUCUUGAAUUUU